GACGAACGCUGGCGGCGUGCUUAACACAUGCAAGUCGAACGAAGAGCGAUGAAGCUUGCUUCUAUCAAUCUUAGUGGCGAACGGGUGAGUAACGCGUAAUCAACCUGCCCUUCAGAGGGGGACAACAGUUGGAAACGACUGCUAAUACCGCAUACGAUCUAACCUCGGCAUCGAGGAUGGAUGAAAGGUGGCCUUUAUUUAUAAGCUAUCACUGAAGGAGGGGAUUGCGUCUGAUUAGCUAGUUGGAGGGGUAACGGCCCACCAAGGCGAUGAUCAGUAGCCGGUCUGAGAGGAUGAACGGCCACAUUGGGACUGAGACACGGCCCAGACUCCUACGGGAGGCAGCAGUGGGGAAUCUUCCGCAAUGGACGAAAGUCUGACGGAGCAACGCCGCGUGAGUGAUGACGGCCUUCGGGUUGUAAAGCUCUGUUAAUCGGGACGAAAGGCCUUCUUGCGAAUAGUUAGAAGGAUUGACGGUACCGGAAUAGAAAGCCACGGCUAA
Molecule: ribosomal RNA, 502 nt
Filed under: Veillonella dispar
Lineage: Bacteria; Bacillati; Bacillota; Negativicutes; Veillonellales; Veillonellaceae
Description: bacterial SSU rRNA
Rfam family: Bacterial small subunit ribosomal RNA
Source: RNAcentral